UUUUUGGAGAGUUUGAUCCUGGCUCAGGACGAACGCUGGCGGCGUGCCUAAUACAUGCAAGUCGAGCGGACAGAUAAGG
Molecule: ribosomal RNA, 79 nt
Filed under: Peribacillus faecalis
Lineage: Bacteria; Bacillati; Bacillota; Bacilli; Caryophanales; Bacillaceae
Description: Bacterial small subunit ribosomal RNA
Rfam family: Bacterial small subunit ribosomal RNA
Source: Rfam by way of RNAcentral